UGACUUGUGACAAUGAAAACAAUUUUAUAUAAGCUUUUUUUUUUAAUUAAUGGACAGUCAAGUCAGUAUACCAAGAAAAGAAUAAAAUUAGUUUUUAAACUUAAAAUUGUACAUUUUUUUUUUUUUUGCUAACUUGUAAAUAUCAUAAAUAUGAAAGGUUAAGUUGUACAUGAGCACUAACUAUAAGAAAUGUAAUCCUGGCAAAAAGAAUAAAAACAAGAUUACAAAUAGGAGACUUAUAAAGUCACAAAAGAGAAGAUUAAGGCUUUGGUUUAACAAACAAAAACGAAGUUAGUG
This 297-nucleotide long non-coding RNA is filed under the name Capsella rubella. RNAcentral's name for it is "long non-coding RNA (CRUB_LNC001429)". Lineage: Eukaryota; Viridiplantae; Streptophyta; Magnoliopsida; Brassicales; Brassicaceae. The record is from RNAcentral.